CAGGAGAUAAACAAAAAACAAAAAAAAACAUCAUUUUUAGUGCUCAUUUUUAAUGAAGAAGAGGGCACUGUAGCAAGGGAUUUUCCUCAAGGAGGAAGCAUUGGUAGCAGCAACUGUUACAAUUGUAAUGAAGCUGACCACACCUCGAAAGGCUGCCUGAAUCUCUUCAGUGAAUUGACGGAAGAUGGAAAGCCACAUGAGCAAUGCAUUCCAGAAGCUGUGACAUGAGAUGAAAAGGAACUGUUUAAGGGCAUCGUCUGUGUGGGAACGCUUUAUCAAUUUUGAUAAAGUCGUCCUCCAUGCUACAGAAAAAGAUGUACCUCAAUACAGAAUAUCAUUCGAAGAAGCCAGCCUGCGCCAACUACUACUUCAAAACAUUAAGAAUUCUGACUACAUAAAACCAACACCUGUUCAGAAAAGCUUCAGUUGUAGUUUGCCAAAAGAGGUUUAAUUGCUUGUGCUGUCACGGGCUCUGGCAAAACGGCAGUACAAUUAAUUAACACUGUGUAAUUUGAAAUCUUGAUGCCCUCGUACUGACUUGAUUCGAAUGGGUCGAUAUGAACUGGGCGGCGUACUUGGUACCAGUUAUGAACAUAUUGUUAGAACAAGGCGUUGCUGGUGCGUCUCAUGCCAUGGGGCAAAAGCCAGAAGUUGUAAUUGUCGCACCUACUCGUGAAUUGGCCAUUCAAAUUCACCGCGAGGCGUGUAAAUUCUCCUACAGCUCGGUUUUAAAGUCUGUGAUUAUAUAUGGAGGAACUCUCACGAGCCAUCAGCGGUCAAAUCUUCAAGCUGGGUGCAAUAUUUUUGUCGCGACCGCGGGACGAUUCAAGGAUUUUCUCGACCGUGAAGUAUUUGACUUCUCGGGAGUCAGGUUUUGAAUUUUGGACGAAGCUGAUCGAAUGCUUGAUAUGGGUUUCGGUCCCAAUGUUAAAAAGAUUGUCAAUCAUCCAACGAUGCAUCCGAAAGGAAUCCGUCGUGUUUGUAUGUUUUCGGCUACGUUCCCAGAUGACGUACAAGCGCUGGCUGCGACGUACAUGGAAGACUACGUAUUCGUCACAACAGGCAUUGUCGGUGGCACCAAUCCGGAUGUUGAACAGCUGUUUUUUCAGUGCUCGAAAAGAGAUAAGAGAGCUAAGCUGAUCGAAGUUUUACAAGAUCUCGGUGAUGCCAAGACUAUCGUUUUUGUCGACAGCAAAAAAGACGGCGGAUUUCGUCGCUGCAUUCUCGUGCAAUAACAACUUACAACAUCCAUGGUGAGCGUAAACGAAAAUCGUAAAUGUCUCUUCCGAAGCUUCUGUCAGAAGAAUAUGCUAGCAAUCAACUCACGAAUCAUGUAAGAUGAACAAUAAAAGCCGAUGUCGAGGUGACGAAGAAAACAACACGUCGAGGUGCCGUCAAACGUGCCUCCGUUCCGGAGAAGGAAGCGCCGGAAGGCAAAAGGCGUCGUGGUGAAACGAAAGCCAAUAAAUACGUUGCUGGAUUGGAUGAUGUAGAAAUGUUACACGAAGGCAAAGGACAUGCUGCCGACAUCCACGCCAAUCACGUGCCAGAUGAGCCGGAGGCGAACAAUGGAUCGCCAGUCACAUCCGUCAAAAGUGGACGAUCUACUCGCGCAAAGGGCGCACUCAAAGUUCAUUUUGACGUGGCCGAAACGGCGCAUUCGCCAGCCAGAUCCACCCGUUCGGCGCGGAAGACGGCUUCACCGGCCGAGAAGAAAGUCUCUGUCCAGCUGGAACGCGACCCCGACAUUGAGACUUUGGCCGCUACAGCCAAAGAAGAGGAAGAGAAAGCACCGGCCGCCAAACGUUCAC
Long non-coding RNA from Daphnia carinata, 1811 nucleotides. RefSeq lists it as uncharacterized. The record is from RefSeq and is a predicted model, not a curated record. Lineage: Eukaryota; Metazoa; Arthropoda; Branchiopoda; Diplostraca; Daphniidae. The transcript is spliced from 7 exons.